RNAcentral lists this long non-coding RNA (466 nucleotides) under Nicotiana tabacum (common tobacco). RNAcentral's name for it is "long non-coding RNA (NTAB_LNC005179)". The record is from RNAcentral. Lineage: Eukaryota; Viridiplantae; Streptophyta; Magnoliopsida; Solanales; Solanaceae.
CAGAUUCACCUUCAAACUCCCCAGAAGAUUCCACUGAUUGCGAGGGGAUUUCAAAAACUGAGGUGUUUAGAGUGACAAAUGGUUGUUUAAUAAUAUUGGGGUUCAUCAUCAUUGCAUUUUGUUUAACAAUAUGAUAAUAGGCGAAAUCUAGGUGAUUUAGCUAUUGUUUAUGCUUCCGCUUGAUUAUAUUCCAAUGACAUAUUAUGGUUAAUUGAUGAAAAAUAGCCUUUAAUUGUGAUAUGUAUACAUUGCAGGACGAGGAGCCUGUAUGAUGCUUUCAAGAGGAUAUUGGAAUGAUUUAUGAGCAAGAACAACCUCUCGGAGUUGAGUGCGCGCAAGGACGAGAUGAGAAAAUGGAUGAAAUCAAGCUCCUGGUGCGCGAAGAAACGCACAAAGGCGCGCAGGAGUUCGCGCGUAAGAAAGGCCGAGGCGGAAUCAUGCACGAAGAAACGCGCGAAGUUAUACG